GAUUCGUCUCGUUGGUGACCAGCGGAGGGUCAUUACUGAGUUACCGCUCUAUAACCCUUUGUGAACGUACCUAACCGUUGCUUCGGCGGGCAGGGGAAGCCUCUCGCGGGCCUCCCCUCCCGGCGCCGGCCCCCACCACGGGGACGGGGCGCCCGCCGGAGGAAACCAAACUCUAUUUACACGACGUCUCUUCUGAGUGGCACAAGCAAAUAAUUAAAACUUUUAACAACGGAUCUCUUGGUUCUGGCAUCGAUGAAGAACGCAGCGAAAUGCGAUAAGUAAUGUGAAUUGCAGAAUUCAGUGAAUCAUCGAAUCUUUGAACGCACAUUGCGCUCGCCAGCAUUCUGGCGAGCAUGCCUGUUCGAGCGUCAUUUCAACCCUCAAGCACCGCUUGGUUUUGGGGCCCCACGGCCGACGUGGGCCCUUAAAGGUAGUGGCGGACCCUCCCGGAGCCUCCUUUGCGUAGUAACUAACGUCUCGCACUGGGAUCCGGAGGGACUCUUGCCGUUAAACCCCCAAAUUCUUUACAGGUUGACCUCGGAUCAGGUAGGAAUACCCGCUGAACUUAAGCAUAUCAAA
Molecule: ribosomal RNA, 579 nt
Filed under: Colletotrichum acutatum
Lineage: Eukaryota; Fungi; Ascomycota; Sordariomycetes; Glomerellales; Glomerellaceae
Description: eukaryotic LSU rRNA
Rfam family: 5.8S ribosomal RNA (bases 218-371)
Source: RNAcentral